GAUGAAGAACGCAGCGAAAUGCGAUACUUGGUGUGAAUUGCAGAAUCCCGUGAACCAUCGAGUCUUUGAACGCAAGUUGCGCCCGAAGCCAUUAGGCCGAGGGCACGCCUGCCUGGGCGUCACACGUCGUUGCCCCCCCAUCUACUCCUUCGGGAUUGCGGGGGGCGGAUGAUGGCCUCUCGUGCGCCUCGUCGCGCGGUUGGCCUAAAUGCCAAGUCCUCGGCGACGCACGCCACGACAAUCGGUGGUUGCGAAACCUCGGUUGCCUGUCGUGUGCGGUCGUCGCGCAUCGAGGGCUCGAAAAAAUUGCCGGGCUCCGGCUCGGCUUUCAACGCGACCCCAGGUCAGGCGGGGUUACCCGCUGAAUUUAAGUAUAUCAAUAAGCGGAGGA
Molecule: unclassified non-coding RNA, 391 nt
Filed under: soil metagenome
Description: partial contains 5.8S ribosomal RNA, internal transcribed spacer 2, and large subunit ribosomal RNA
Rfam family: 5.8S ribosomal RNA (bases 1-122)
Source: RNAcentral